This 516-nucleotide non-coding RNA is filed under the name Pongo abelii (Sumatran orangutan). Lineage: Eukaryota; Metazoa; Chordata; Mammalia; Primates; Hominidae. The record is from RNAcentral.
GGAAUCCCAGUGAUUCAGGAUGCAUUGGGGAGAAAUACAGACUGAAGAUAAUUGGUUACCCAUCUAGAAAGAGAUACAUGAAGUCUGGGGGUAAGACCUGCAGUAAUUUCCUUUAAGUUACUGGUCAUGGGGCGUCUCCAGGACUACAGGCUCUUCCUCAGCGGCUGCCAAGCUCCUAUUAGGGAAGCCGGGGAAAUUCUGAAUGCCCCAGUAUACCCUGCUGGAGGCACAGGAAUGCUCUUGGAAGCUUUGUCUGGACAUGCUUUAAUACCAUCCAUUUUUACUGUUGCCACACCAGUCUGCUACUGGUCCCCACUGUAAAUCACAAAGUAUAACACAAUUUCUGUCUGCUCUCAUGCACCUAAAACUAUUGUGGUUUUUGCCUUUCCCUGUCUCAUUAGCUAAAACAAAGUGUUGAUAAAGGCACAGGCCCUUUCUCAAGAAACAAAAUGUUGUCUUUCUUUUUUCUGCAGUGAAACAGAACAUAAAGUCCAGAAAUAAACGUGUAAUUAAAUA